GGAAUUUGAAGUUGUGUAGAAAUUACUUAAUUAAAGGAUUUGGAGAAGGUUGGUUGAUGUAUGCAGUGUUACGCUGCAUUGCAAAGAGACUGUUUCCGUGACUUGAAUUUGUGACCUCCCAGCUAUAAAUGGAGUAAAUUUACCAUUACAGCAAAAUCGCCCUCUCUUAAAAAUGAUUGCCGACUUAGAUUUAAUUUGAUUAUUACAAAUAAAUUUACCUUAAAAUCAAUUGCCAAUAUUCUUGCUUCUUACUAAAAUAAUUGUGACAC
This 269-nucleotide unclassified non-coding RNA is filed under the name Hevea brasiliensis (rubber tree). The record is from RNAcentral. Lineage: Eukaryota; Viridiplantae; Streptophyta; Magnoliopsida; Malpighiales; Euphorbiaceae.